UUUCCGUAGGUGAACCUGCGGAAGGAUCAUUAAAAAAUUGGACUCCAUUGGUGAGUUCAUUAAUAAUCCUACCCUUUGUGAAUUUGUUUGUUUGAAUAAUUUUUUUUCCAAAAAAAUUAUUGAAUGUCUUUCCCUGUUUUGGUGGAGCUUGUAAAGUGAAACCAGGCAGGGGAAUGGCAAACAAUAAUUAUUUUUGAAAAAGACCUUUUUUUAAAAUUAACUUUUUUGUAUUCAUUUGUCUAAAAUUAUUUUUAUAAUAUAAAAACAACUUUUUGACAAUGGAUCUCUUGGUUCUCGCAACGAUGAAGAACGCAGCAAAAUGCGAUAAGUAGUGUGAAUUGCAGAAUACGUGAAUCAUCGAAUCUUCGAACGCAUAUUGCACUUUUUUAGUUUACUAAAAAAGUAUGUCUGUUUGAGUAUCAGUAAAAUAUUCUCAUAAAAAAUUUAUUUUUUAUGGUUAUGAGUGUUUUACAACGAUAACAAGUUGUUUCACUUUAAAUUCUUUGUUAUCAAAAAAUCAUUAAAAGCUAAUUUUAAAGAUUUUUUUAAAAUUGGAUAAAAUUUUCCGUAAAAAGGAAUAACCUAAACAAUUUUAAAAAAUUAAAAUUGGUUUGAUUUUUCUUGAUUUAAAAAGGAAAAAAAAGUAAAAAUUAACUUGAUCUCAAAUCAGAUAAGAGUACCCGCUGAACUUAAGCAUAUCAAUAAGCGGAGGAAAAGAAACUAACUAGGAUUCCCUCAGUAACGGCGAGUGAAGCGGGAAGAGCUCAAAUUUGAAAUCUUCAAGGUUUUACCUUGACGAAUUGUAGUUUAAAGAAGUGUUUUCUGUUGGAGUUUUGGUAAAAGUUCCUUGGAAAAGGACAUCAUAGAGGGUGAGAAUCCCGUAUUUGACCAUUAUCUCCAGCUUUGUGAUACACUUUCAAAGAGUCGGAUUGUUUGGGAAUGCAGUCCAAAAUGGGUGGUAAAUUUCAUCUAAAGCUAAAUACUGGCGAGAGACCGAUAGCGAACAAGUACCGUGAGGGAAAGAUGAAAAGAACUUUGAAAAGAGAGUUAAACAGUACGUGAAAUUGUCAAAAGGGAAGCGUUUGACACCAGUGUUGUUUUCUCGAAAAUCAAUUAAAAAAGGCCGGAUUUUGUGUUGUAUUGACUUUAUCAGCUUUCUGCACUUUUUUCUUGUCCUUUUUAAUGCACUUUUCGUUUAACAAGUCAACAUCAAUUUCUUUUGUUUGUAAAAGGUCAUUGGAAGGUGGCUUUCUUUUCGGAGAAAGUGUUUAUAGCCUUUGGCCUCUGCAAUCGGAGAGAUUGGGGUCUGCAGCGUAGAUCCUUCGGGGUUAGACACAUUUGUGCUAAGUUAUAGCCUUUCAUAGACAACUUGUUGACUAUGAUCAGUCAUGUAGCUUACUCGCUUAUGCUAUUU
Molecule: unclassified non-coding RNA, 1414 nt
Filed under: uncultured Neocallimastigales
Lineage: Eukaryota; Fungi; Neocallimastigomycota; Neocallimastigomycetes; Neocallimastigales
Description: partial contains small subunit ribosomal RNA, internal transcribed spacer 1, 5.8S ribosomal RNA, internal transcribed spacer 2, and large subunit ribosomal RNA
Rfam family: Eukaryotic large subunit ribosomal RNA (bases 657-1414)
Source: RNAcentral